Molecule: non-coding RNA, 218 nt
Filed under: uncultured Enterovibrio sp.
Lineage: Bacteria; Pseudomonadati; Pseudomonadota; Gammaproteobacteria; Vibrionales; Vibrionaceae
Source: RNAcentral
UCCGCGAGGAAGGGCCUGAAGGACAGAUAUGUAGCUCCUGCAAAAUCUGCAUUUCCACCAUCUAUGGAGGUUAAGCCGCUCGCCCCCUCGAUUUAAAAGAAGGCGAGCUGAUGAACAAAUACAUCUAUGAGGUGUCGGGUCAAGGAGAGUUGCCGCAAGACGACGAAGCCAAGUGAUUUAAGACCCUGUACAUGAUGCAGUUGUGCAGUGAAAGUUCA